UACGUAGGGUGCAAGCGUUAAUCGGAAUUACUGGGCGUAAAGCGUGCGCAGGCGGUUAUGUAAGACAGGUGUGAAAUCCCCGGGCUUAACCUGGGAAUUGCAUCUGUGACUGCAUAGCUAGAGUACGGUAGAGGGGGAUGGAAUUCCGCGUGUAGCAGUGAAAUGCGUAGAUAUGCGGAGGAACACCGAUGGCGAAGGCAAUCCCCUGGACCUGUACUGACGCUCAUGCACGAAAGCGUGGGGAGCAAACAGG
This 253-nucleotide ribosomal RNA is filed under the name uncultured bacterium. RNAcentral's name for it is "partial 16S ribosomal RNA". It matches the Rfam family "Bacterial small subunit ribosomal RNA", at positions 524 to 776 of the family's 1533-position model. The record is from RNAcentral.